Molecule: long non-coding RNA, 1103 nt
Filed under: Phasianus colchicus (ring-necked pheasant)
Lineage: Eukaryota; Metazoa; Chordata; Aves; Galliformes; Phasianidae
Description: lncRNA (ENSPCLG00000004396.1)
Source: RNAcentral
CGUACAUCCAAAUGCCCAGAAGGCAAUUUCAUUGCCUACGGAUGCAGUGACACGACUGAGGUCACCUGAAGUCUGCGUCAGAGAAAGGAACUGAGCCCAUGGCUCACGCAGCAGGGACCAAACGUCACAGCGUGGGGCUGGAUGCACUUCAUGGAAAUGGAUUUCAUGGUUGAAAAAGGGCCCAGUGUAAAUCCUCCAGUACUGAGAUCAGCAGGGCAUCUUUUGUGUCCUCCCUUCCCAGGGCACCUGUGCAGCUUACUGGGAGAAGCACAGCUGGAAUUUCUUCAUUUGCCUUUGGAUUCCCAUUCACAUGCUGGCCAUACAAAACUCUCUUUUCUUUUUACUGUUCCCAGAAAUAACAUUUUCCAAUGAUUUUUUAAUUUUUGUUUCCAUUUCCAGAGCAGGUCAGAAUGUCGUGAAGAGCUGUGACAUACCCAAAGGCCACUUUGUGCUCACGCUAUGGGCUGUGCUUAGUUGGGGAUGCACCAGCAUGAGGGCAAACUCCGCGUUGCAGGAAGCAUUUAGAAGUGCAGAACUCACAACCAUUGGUGCCAAGUGAAUGGAGGACACAUCUGAGAACUCAACGUUUUUUAGACUAAUUCCAGCAGAAAAUAACAAGAUUUCUGCCCAUGCCAGAGAUGGUUUUCAGAUGCUGUUGGUGCUAUGCCCAAUGCAGCUGAUUCACCUACUGUGGCAUUGCUGUGUUCCUGGCCCACUGCAGCCAAGCAGACCCCUGGAGCUGUGCCAGAAAGUAGAAGCAAUGGGGCACCUGGAAGCUGCUGUCUGUCUGUCUGCAGGAUGGGGGAAAGCAGCAGGACCUCUUGCUUCCAAAAACCUGGCAAACAUGUCAUUGAGCUCUGGGAAAUGCUUUCAGAGGGACAGGUAGCUGGGUCAGAGCUCUGUGUCUGUGUCAGCCCAAAGAAGGGGGUUUACAACUACUGAGAACCCAACUGAGAAUGAUCCAAAUGGGAAUGGGAGGCAAACAUCCAAAACAAAGCAGGGAGCGAGCAGUGCAACCUAGUUUAAGGUAAGUGAUGGAAACAAGGAGUCGAGCCUGGAUUAAAAAGGACACAAGAGGGUACAAGCCAACAUUACUCAGCUCC